This 244-nucleotide ribosomal RNA is filed under the name uncultured bacterium. RNAcentral describes it as "partial 16S ribosomal RNA". It matches the Rfam family "Bacterial small subunit ribosomal RNA", at positions 118 to 348 of the family's 1533-position model. The record is from RNAcentral.
UGGGUAACCUGCCUCAAAGAGGGGAAUAGCCUCCCCGAAAGGGGAGAUUAAUACCGCAUAAUAUGUUUAGGUCGCAUGACUUUAACAUCAAAGGAUUUUCUUUUAGAAAUUCCACUUUGAGAUGGACCCGCGGCGCAUUAGCUAGUUGGUGAGGUAACGGCUCACCAAGGCAACGAUGCGUAGCCGACCUGAGAGGGUGAUCGGCCACAUUGGGAAUUGAGACACGGCCAGCUCCGUAGGGAGG